This 495-nucleotide ribosomal RNA is filed under the name uncultured bacterium. Its description in RNAcentral is "bacterial SSU rRNA". It matches the Rfam family "Bacterial small subunit ribosomal RNA", at positions 899 to 1397 of the family's 1533-position model. The record is from RNAcentral.
ACUCAAAGGAAUUGACGGGGACCCGCACAAGCAGUGGAGUAUGUGGUUUAAUUCGAUGCAACGCGAAGAACCUUACCAAGGCUUGACAUCCCUUGCAUAGUAUAGAAAUAUAUGAAUCCCUUCGGGGCAAGGAGACAGGUGGUGCAUGGUUGUCGUCAGCUCGUGUCGUGAGAUGUUGGGUUAAGUCCCGCAACGAGCGCAACCCCUAUUGUUAGUUGCCAUCAUUUAGUUGGGCACUCUAGCGAGACUGCCGAUGGUAAAUCGGAGGAAGGUGGGGAUGAUGUCAAAUCAUCAUGCCCCUUAUGUCUUGGGCUACACACGUACUACAAUGGCCGUUACAAUGGGCAGCGAAAGAGCAAUCUGGAGCCAAUCCCCAAAAGCGGUCUCAGUUCGGAUUGCAGGCUGAAACUCGCCUGCAUGAAGUUGGAAUUGCUAGUAAUGGCAGGUCAGCAUACUGCCGUGAAUACGUUCCCGGGUCUUGCACACACCGCCCGU